RNAcentral lists this unclassified non-coding RNA (280 nucleotides) under Hevea brasiliensis (rubber tree). Lineage: Eukaryota; Viridiplantae; Streptophyta; Magnoliopsida; Malpighiales; Euphorbiaceae. The record is from RNAcentral.
GUAAUAAUGAGCGUUUACAGAACCUAGGAAACACAGAACAAAUGAUCAAAAAAAUUAGCAAGCACGACAAAUGAAUUGAUAAUUGAUUAUCAAUAAACAUAAUAAAGAAAACACAAACCAUAUAAAAAAUACAUUGUCAAGGCAACUCCAUAUAGAAAAUCCAAUAAAGCAAACAGCAGCCCAAAGAAGUAAAAUCAUACCAGAAUAUAGACAUAGCAUGUGUUUACCAAAUCAGCCCAUAAACAGCAGAACAAUUAGCAAGAAAUAAAUUUUUCAAUGC